This 274-nucleotide ribosomal RNA is filed under the name uncultured bacterium. RNAcentral's name for it is "partial 16S ribosomal RNA". It matches the Rfam family "Bacterial small subunit ribosomal RNA", at positions 523 to 796 of the family's 1533-position model. The record is from RNAcentral.
AUACGGAGGGUCCGAGCGUUAUCCGGAAUCAUUGGGUUUAAAGGGUCCGUAGGCGGGAAUCUAAGUCAGUGGUGAAAUCUUGCAGCUCAACUGUAAAAUUGCCAUUGAUACUGGAUUUCUUGAAUUAGCGUGAAGUGAUUAGAAUGUGUAGUGUAGCGGUGAAAUGCAUAGAUAUUACACAGAAUACCAAUUGCGAAGGCAGAUCACUAACACUAUAUUGACGCUGAGGGACGAAAGCGUGGGGAGCGAACAGAAUUAGAAACCCUAGUAGUCC